GCUGCUGGGGCUGGAGCCGCGCUGCUCAGACCCUGGCUGCCUUUGCCGCCUGCACCGCCACUGACUCGACCCCUCGUCCGAGAUUGAUUGGGCUGCUUGGAGGCCCCUCGCGGUCACUGCCACCAGCCCCUGAUCUUCGGGUUUCAUCGCGAGUCCCCGUCCUUGCCUGCAGCCCCUGGAUUCUCGCCGGCCCAGCCACAUCGUCCACCCUCCCCGAGCCUCUGGCGGCGCCUCCCGGGACCAGCGGGGGCCCACGCUGGAGGCUGCCUGGGCCAUUCUGACGCACCAGCCUGAGGGAACAUUCCCUGGCCUCCCGCCCCUCCUUUCCCCUGCCUAGAGCUGGCCUGCGUGUCCCAGAACUGGGCUUCUCCCGCCUCACCUGCUCCCCACCGCACUCCAGAUCGCUGCGGGCGCGGCUUCCUCGCCCUGGAGCACUCUUCCUCUCCCUCCGCAUUUUCCCUGGCCUGGAUGGGAGAAUCGUUGGUCACUGCUGAAGGAAGAAAGGGAGGAAGGGAGAUGAGAGGGAAGGAAAGACAAAUGUACUUAUGACUGCGUCUUUUCCUCCACUUGGGACUUUUUGUUCCAAUGUCCCUAGUCUCAGCCAUGGGAAAGAAGAUGGGGACCCAGAGCGCUCCACUGGCCUCUCCUCUGCUACUGCCCACCCCAUCCUGCCUGCCUGGUCAGCUCCAGUCCAGCCACUUGUUGCUGCCUGUAGGCUCAUGUAAGGCACAGUGACCUUGCCACAUCUCCAUGGAGGAGGAGGCAGGUGUAAGCACACCCCUCUGAGCCACCUACUCUGGGGGCCUGCUGGCAGGAACAGGAGAAGGAGUCAGGGUUGGGGUUGCGUCCCCACAGAAGAUAGCAGUGAGCACAGGCCACACACGACACUGGCACAUUCUGGUUGGGCCUUUCCUUAGCCGGCUCCAUUCCUCAGAUAGGAAAACCCAGACAGAGACAAAGGACCUACCUGGGACCUGUAUAGGUCCAGUCCCUCCCUCUGCCGCCUAGUGAGAGAGGACUGAAGAUGAAGAGUGAGGAUGAAUUGAGAGCAGGUGGUGUCACAUCUGCCCUGUCAGUGAGUUGGUCAACAGAGGUCUUUAGGGGGCUAUACCUGGACAGGGACCCCAAAGGGAAGAUGGAGGGUCUGCAAGGGGGCUGCUAGCUGCUGUCAGCGUCCACCCAGUCUGCAGGCUGCCCCCUGACCCUGCUUGAUGGGGACAGGUGUGUCAUGCAUGUUGCCGUGCAACCCAAGCUCAGUGUGUGGGUGGCACCCAGGGCUGCACUGGCUGUCAGGGUCCACAAGUGGUCUGGGUCAGGAUGGGGCAGGAACAUCCUUCUCUGAGUUCCCUGAUUACCCAGGAAGGCUGGCGGGGCAGGGGGUCCACUCAUCCAGACCCGUUGGCCAGCCCACCAAGGUGUGCAUCUCCCUUUUGGCUCCAAGGCCCGCCUUGGCCGGGUGACAGCUGGGGAAACUGAUACCAGCUCGUAGCUCUGGACUGCUGGGUGGCAAGGCCCUGUGGUCGCUGGGAGCCAGGCUUCCUCAGUCCCGCGCGUUCGCUGCUGACAAUUGAGCGACCAAAGCAGAUUAACUUGGGUGUUAAUCCCCACCUAAUGGCUUCAGAAUCCCCGGCUCCAGGAGCUAAGCCGUCCUUUCUCCGAGCGCGGCCGAGCCCUCCGCGGCUUCAGCCCCGCAGCGGCGCCGAUGCUAUCUCUGCCUGCCCGGCCGCGGUACCGCGCUAAUCCCCGGCGCUCCUUUCUUCCCCGGCCCGUCCAAGGUCGGCCGAUUGGGGUUUGAUUAUGGCCGCUAUCGAGGGCCCCUUUGUGCGACCGGCCCUAAAUCCCCUAAUUCCGUGAUAAAAGAGGCAUUAGCGGGCGUUUGUGGCUGAGAAAGGAACAGAGAUGAAAGAAAGCAAUCAGGAGAUCCGGACGGCCGCGCCCUCGAGGCGGGGUGGCCUCGACCCAGCGGGGGGCGGCCUGGGCCCGGGCUUCCUCCACCCCAACCAGCCCUGAGCGGGGCCAGCGACCCCUCCCCACCUCCUUGGCUGUCCCUCCCCACUGUUCCGGCUGCCACUUGGCUCGGGAACCCCCUGGGCUCACAUGCCGAGGGACCACCCCCCUACCUCAGCCUCACUUUUGCAUGUGCGGGAUCUGAGGGACCUAACCCCCGGCUCCCUGGGCCCUAGCUGCUCCUGCGUCCCGGCCCUGACUGUCCAAAUCCAGUGGUCUGUCCGUGCCCACCCAAAGCUCCAUUCCUCUGUGGCCUCUAAUUCUCCCCCAGCCCCUCCAGAUCCCUGCCCUCUUCAUCUGCCUCAGUUUCAUCCAGUCCUGGAAACAGUCAGGUCUGUUCUUUAGUCGGGGAAAGAAAUGGUGGCAGCCGGGAGCACUGGGAUUGUCUAGAGAGGUGCAGGUGGGGACAGUAGGGAAGGCCCCCUUGCAGAGGUGCCAGGAGCCCCAGGAUAGGGCGUCAAGGAGCCAGGGUGGAUGCAUUGAAGGAGCUGACCAGGGACCUGGGCAGCUGAGAGUGAGGAGGGAGGGGACAGAUGGGAGAGGUGGCAGAGUCCAGGGCUUCCAGGGACUGAGGACCACUCACUCCGGGCAUCUGAAGUGAGGGUGCCAUGAUGGGACUUCUGUUUGUGGCAAGCAUUGACGCCUCUCGGGGAGGCUCACUUUGGGGAGGAGGACAGGAGAGAAAAGUUGCUGGGAGUGGGUUCAAAAGCCAGCCACUGUGGGGGUGCCGGUGGCAGACAUCUACGACUGGCGCCAAGGUGGAGGCAGUGCAGAGGGACAGGCGUGGGCAAUACCAGAUGGAGCUGGAGGUGGACGAUGAGAUCCGAGGUGGGAGUAGGGAGUGCUAAGCAUUGCCCACCAGCUGAGCCUUGAGCAGCUCUAGAGUCAGGUGAGCGCUGCACAGGUGAGUGAGUGGGGCAUCUACCUGGACGGACAGGUGUGUGUUUACCAAGGUGCACAGGAGUCGAGGUGUGUGUUUACCCAGGUGAGUAGGUGGGGCCGCGGGCCAUUUACUGGGAAGACAAGGGGAUGGGUGUGCAUAGAUGGCUCUAUUCAGAUCCCCUUUAGGGGUCAGCCUACUGGUCCCCAGCUGCUGACUGUUGCCUCCUGGUGGCUCAUGGCCACCUUGGUCUUGGAGAAUUGUCCUGGGGAAUGAGAGCCACCCACACAGCAGCCCUCCAGACCCAGAGGCAGAACCCUGACAAUGGCUGAUACCUGGGCAUCCCUGCUUUGCCGAAAGGUGGUUCAGAUCUGUGAAGUUCUCAGUGUCUGCCACAGCGGUUCCAUGUGGAAUGAUGAAAACUGACCUGUAACAGAGACAGCUUUCUGCUCAGCAGUCUGCACUCUACCACCCAGCCCUGUCCUACUUCCACGGUGACCAGGCAUCUCAGUUUUCCCAAGACUAAGGAAUUUCCCGGAAAGCAGGGCUGUCAGCACCAAAACCUGGGAAAGUCACAGGCAAAUCAGGAUGGGGAGUCCCUCUAGGUUUCUGUUGUGUCUCCCAAAGAGAUGCCAAAGUCCUCGCUCAUCCUAUCUGUGAAUGUGAACUUAUUUAGAAAUAAGAUCUUUGCAGAUGUAAUUACACUUAAAUUAACUAGCUGGGCAUGUUGGUACACAUCUGUGGUACCAGCUACUUUGGAGGCUGAGGUGAGAAGAUUGCUUGAGCCCAGAAGGUUGAGGCUGCACUGAGCUGUGACCACAUCACUGCACUUCAGCCUGGCCAAGAGAGCAAGACCCUGCCUGUAAACCAGACAACAACAAGAACCAUGCAAAUGAAGAUGAAGUCAUACCGGAGUAGGGUAUGUCCUUAACCCAGUAAGACUGAUGAAGUCCUCAGAAGAGAAGAGCCACAUACAGGAGAAGACCAUGUGGUGACCAAGGUGGAGAUGGGAGGGGGCAUUUGUGAGCCAAGGAAUGCCCAGUGGGUCCAGCAAGGCCAGAUGCUGGGAGAAGGGCACCGGGUAGACUGUCCCCUGGAGCCUUCCGAGAGCACGACACUGCUGACACCCUGAUCUGGGUUCCUGACCUCUGGAAGUAUGAACAAGUAAGCUCCUGUUGGAAACCGUUCAGGGCUCAGCACCACCGGAAGGCAGCACAGACUUCCUCACUCUCCUGGGCACACGCUCAGCAACAGCCCGAGAACAAGAAUCCUUGCUUCAGGCUUUGCUUCUAGGGAACUCGACCUCAACAGUGGGUGUCUGGUGGGUGGCCCUGGGAAGCCCACCUGAAGGACAGCACUCUGAAAUUGGCUCCUGCGCCGGCAGGGUGGCAACGAGGAGCUGUCACUCUUCUCGUGUUUCCAGCAUUUUGUGGUGUUCCAUCCUCGUAGAUGCCAAGGUGUCAGGUGGAGAACUGACAGCCCCCGGCCUGGGUCACAGUGUGACAGUAAGAACUGUCACCAGGGGGAACUGGGAUGGGAGACAUUUGGAGGCAGUGUCACUGGUGCAGUGCCCUGGGCACCUGAGAGGUGGGGAGGAACUCCAAGAGCCAUGGGACUGAGAGGCUGUUGCUAAGCACUGUUGAUUCCUUGAGGAGAGAACAUGACAGAUCCAGACACACCGAUCAACAGCAUGAAGCAGAGUGCCCCGCAUCAGAGCCCAGCUGGCACAUGCAGAGACUGGCCGGCGGGUGGACAGAAAUGAAGAUGAGGCCCCGGGGGUUAGUGGAGCACAGCCGAACUCCAGGAGAAGCAGGGGAUCUCAACCUAAACAAGGCUCUCACAGCAAAGUGACAGCCUGAUAGUGAAGGGGUGGGACGCUGAUGUGUGGGGCGGUGUAUCUGAGUGGAUGGCCUUGCGCACUUAGGUUUUUUAUUUUGAGAGUUUUUUUUUUUUUUUGAGACAGAGUUUUGCUCUCAUUGCCCAGGCUACACUGCAGUGUUGCAAUCUAGGCUCACUGCAACCUCUGCCUUCUGGUUUCAAGCAAUUCUGCCUCAGCCUCCCAAGUAGCUGGGAUUACAGGUGCCCACCGCCAUGCCCAGCUAAUUUUUUUUGUAUUUUUAGUAGAGAUGGGGUUUCACCAUGCUGGUCAGGCUGGUCUCGAACUGCUGACCUCGUGAUCCACCCGCCUUGGUCUCCCAAAGUGCUGGGAUUACAGGCGUGAGCCACCGCGCCCGGCCUUGAGGGGUUUAUUUGACAUGGAGUCUUGCUCUGGUGCCCAGGCAGGAGUGCAGUGGCAUGAUCAUAGCUUACUGCAGCCUCCAACUCCCAGGCUCAAGUGAUCGUCCCACCUCAGCCUCCCAAGUAGUUGGGACUACAGGUGUGCACCACCAUGCCCUGCUAAUUUUUAAAAAAUAUUUUUUAGAGACAAGGUCUCACUAUGUUGCCUAGGCUGUUUUCAAACUCCUGGCCUCAAGUGAUCCUCCAGCCUCGGCCUCCCAAAAUGCUGGGAUUAUAGGCAUGAGCCACCAUGCCAAGCCCUUUAUACCUUUUCUAUAUUUUUCUUGCUUUAUUGCACUGACUAAAACCUCCAGGACAACGUUGAAUAGAAGUGUCAUGGAUAUCCUUACUUUACUCUUAAUUUUAGGGAGAAAAUAACCAACGUUUUGCCAGAAAGUA
Molecule: long non-coding RNA, 5563 nt
Filed under: Homo sapiens (human)
Lineage: Eukaryota; Metazoa; Chordata; Mammalia; Primates; Hominidae
Description: non-protein coding lnc-SLC25A1-5:3
Source: RNAcentral